CAGACGGGUGAGUAAUGUAUAGGAAUCUACCUAGUAGUACGGAAUAAUUGUUGGAAACGGCAACUAAUACCGUAUACGCCCUCGGGGGAAACAGUUUAUUGCUAUUAGAUGAGCCUAUAUUAGAUUAGCUAGUUGGUGGAGUAAUAGCCUACCAAGGCAAUGAUCUAUAGCUGAUCUGAGAGGAUGAUUAACCACACUGGAACUGAGAUACGGUCCAG
RNAcentral lists this ribosomal RNA (218 nucleotides) under uncultured bacterium. Its description in RNAcentral is "partial 16S ribosomal RNA". It matches the Rfam family "Bacterial small subunit ribosomal RNA", at positions 99 to 334 of the family's 1533-position model. The record is from RNAcentral.